Molecule: ribosomal RNA, 341 nt
Filed under: uncultured soil bacterium
Lineage: Bacteria
Description: bacterial SSU rRNA
Rfam family: Bacterial small subunit ribosomal RNA
Source: RNAcentral
AGAUUGAACGCUGGCGGCAUGCUUUACACAUGCAAGUCGAACGGUAACAGGCCGCAAGGUGCUGACGAGUGGCGAACGGGUGAGUAAUGCAUCGGAACGUGCCCAGUCGUGGGGGAUAACGCAGCGAAAGCUGUGCUAAUACCGCAUACGAUCUAUGGAUGAAAGCGGGGGACCGAAAGGCCUCGCGCGAUUGGAGCGGCCGAUGUCAGAUUAGCUAGUUGGUGGGGUAAAGGCCCACCAAGGCGACGAUCUGUAGCUGGUCUGAGAGGACGCCAGCCACACUGGACUGAGACACGGUCCAGACCUCCGUACGGGAGGCAGCAGUGGGGUAAUUUGGACAA